CCUACGGGAGGCAGCAGUGGGGAAUAUUGGACAAUGGGGGGAACCCUGAUCCAGCGACGCCGCGUGAGUGAAGAAGUAUUUCGGUAUGUAAAGCUCUAUCAGCAGGGAAGAAAAUGACGGUACCUGACUAAGAAGCCCCGGCUAACUACGUGCCAGCAGCCGCGGUAAUACGUAGGGGGCAAGCGUUAUCCGGAUUUACUGGGUGUAAAGGGAGCGUAGACGGUGCAGCAAGUCUGAUGUGAAAGGUCGGGGCCCAACCCCGGGACUGCAUUGGAAACUGUUGAACUGGAGUGCAGGAGAGGUAAGCGGAAGUCCUGGUGUAGCGGUGAAAUGCGUAGAUAUUAGGAGGAACACCAGUGGCGAAGGCGGCUUACUGGACUGUAACUGACGUUGAGGCACGAAAGCGUGGGGAGCAAACAGGAUUAGAUACCCGUGUAGUC
RNAcentral lists this ribosomal RNA (440 nucleotides) under uncultured bacterium. Its description in RNAcentral is "partial 16S ribosomal RNA". It matches the Rfam family "Bacterial small subunit ribosomal RNA", at positions 338 to 795 of the family's 1533-position model. The record is from RNAcentral.